RNAcentral lists this ribosomal RNA (253 nucleotides) under uncultured prokaryote. RNAcentral describes it as "partial 16S ribosomal RNA". It matches the Rfam family "Bacterial small subunit ribosomal RNA", at positions 524 to 776 of the family's 1533-position model. The record is from RNAcentral.
UACAGAGGUGGCGAGCGUUGUUCGGAUUUACUGGGCGUAAAGGGUGCGUAGGCGGCUCCGCAUGUCGGGUGUGAAAGCCCACGGAUUAUCCGUGGAACGGCAUUCGAAACUGUGGGGCUCGAGGACAGGAGAGGAGGGCGGAAUUCACGGUGUAGCGGUGAAAUGCGUUGAGAUCGUGAAGAACGCCGGUGGCGAAGGCGGCCCUCUGGACUGUAUCUGACGCUGAGGCACGAAAGCUAGGGGAGCAAACAGG